This 300-nucleotide unclassified non-coding RNA is filed under the name uncultured Aetokthonos sp. RNAcentral describes it as "partial 16S-23S ribosomal RNA intergenic spacer". The record is from RNAcentral. Lineage: Bacteria; Bacillati; Cyanobacteriota; Cyanophyceae; Nostocales; Hapalosiphonaceae.
CCUCCUUUUUAGGGAGACCUAACCCAUCACUAAACCGAAACACAGUAAUUAGGUAGUUGAUGAGGUCACCCAAGGUCGUUCGAGGAUUGUCGAUAGCUUUCAAACUAUAGAUGGUUUGGUUUACAUCUUUUUUAAAAUAAUGGAUAAACCAUCUCAGCAAUCUUGCAAUUAAAUUAGUGGCAAGUCUGCUGGGUUGAAUCCAGCCAGAACCUUGAAAACUGCAUAGAGAAGUAGCGAAAGAAAAGCAGAUAGGAAAGUGUAGGUAGAAAAUCCAGACACGAAACUAUUAAAGUGGUCAAG